GUCGCCUCCUAAAAGGUAACGGAGGCGCUCAAAGGUUCCCUCAGAAUGGUUGGAAAUCAUUCAUAGAGUGUAAAGGCAUAAGGGAGCUUGACUGCGAGACCUACAAGUCGAGCAGGGUCGAAAGACGGACUUAGUGAUCCGGUGGUUCCGCAUGGAAGGGCCAUCGCUCAACGGAUAAAAGCUACCCCGGGGAUAACAGGCUUAUCUCCCCCAAGAGUUCACAUCGACGGGGAGGUUUGGCACCUCGAUGUCGGCUCAUCGCAUCCUGGGGCUGUAGUCGGUCCCAAGGGUUGGGCUGUUCGCCCAUUAAAGCGGUACGCGAGCUGGGUUCAGAACGUCGUGAGACAGUUCGGUCCCUAUCCGUCGUGGGCGUAGGAAAUUUGAGAGGAGCUGUCCUUAGUACGAGAGGACCGGGAUGGACAUACCUCUGGUGUACCAGUUGUCGUGCCAACGGCAUAGCUGGGUAGCUAUGUGUGGACGGGAUAAGUGCUGAAAGCAUCUAAGCAUGAAGCCCCCCUCAAGAUGAGAUUUCCCAACUUCGGUUAUAAGAUCCCUCAAAGAUGAUGAGGUUAAUAGGUUCGAGGUGGAAGCAUGGUGACAUGUGGAGCUGACGAAUACUAAUCGAUCGAAGACUUAAUCAAAA
RNAcentral lists this ribosomal RNA (643 nucleotides) under Staphylococcus aureus. Its description in RNAcentral is "partial 23S ribosomal RNA". It matches the Rfam family "Bacterial large subunit ribosomal RNA", at positions 2282 to 2925 of the family's 2925-position model. The record is from RNAcentral. Lineage: Bacteria; Bacillati; Bacillota; Bacilli; Caryophanales; Staphylococcaceae. RNAcentral also lists the same sequence under 1 other name.